Molecule: ribosomal RNA, 485 nt
Filed under: uncultured bacterium
Lineage: Bacteria
Description: partial 16S ribosomal RNA
Rfam family: Bacterial small subunit ribosomal RNA
Source: RNAcentral
GACGAACGCUGGCGGCGUGCUUAACACAUGCAAGUCGAACGGUGAAAGCGGAGCUUGCUCCGCUGGAUCAGUGGCGAACGGGUGAGUAACACGUGGGCAACCUGCCCCUCACUUCGGGAUAACUCCGGGAAACCGGGGCUAAUACCGGAUAUGACCUCCUUGGGCAUCCUGGGAGGUGGAAAGUUUUUCGGUGAGGGAUGGGCCCGCGGCCUAUCAGCUUGUUGGUGAGGUAGUGGCUCACCAAGGCGACGACGGGUAGCCGGCCUGAGAGGGCGACCGGCCACACUGGGACUGAGACACGGCCCAGACUCCUACGGGAGGCAGCAGUGGGGAAUAUUGCGCAAUGGGCGAAAGCCUGACGCAGCAACGCCGCGUGCGGGAUGACGGCCUUCGGGUUGUAAACCGCUUUCAGCAGGGAAGAAGCCGCAAGGUGACGGUACCUGCAGAAGAAGCACCGGCUAACUACGUGCCAGCCGCCGCAGUAA